This 494-nucleotide ribosomal RNA is filed under the name uncultured bacterium. Its description in RNAcentral is "partial 16S ribosomal RNA". It matches the Rfam family "Bacterial small subunit ribosomal RNA", at positions 28 to 507 of the family's 1533-position model. The record is from RNAcentral.
GACGAACGCUGGCGGCGUGCUUAACACAUGCAAGUCGAACGGUGAAGCGCCUUCCUUUUUGGUGGGUGUGGAUGAGUGGCGAACGGGUGAGUAACACGUGAGUAACCUGCCCCCUUCUUCUGGAUAACCGCAUGAAAGUGUGGCUAAUACGGGAUAUUCUGGUUCUGUCGCAUGAUGGGUCUGGGCAAGAUAUUGUUUCGGUUGGGGAUGGGCUCGCGGCCUAUCAGCUUGUUGGUGGGGUGAUGGCCUACCAAGGCGGUGACGGGUAGCCGGCCUGAGAGGGUGGACGGGCAGACUGGGACUGAGACACGGCCCAGACUCCUACGGGAGGCAGCAGUGGGGAAUAUUGCACAAUGGGCGCAAGCCUGAUACAGCGACGCCGCGUGAGGGAUGGAGGCCUUCGGGUUGUGAACCUCUUUCGCCAGUGAAGCAGGCCUGCCUCGUUUGUGGGUGGGUUGACGGUAGCUGGAGAAGAAGCGCCGGCUAACUACGUG